GCGACGUAAUAGUUUUUGUUUUGUUUUAAUUAUUGAUAACAUUUUGAAUUUGAAUAGGUAGGUACACAAUUCUUGUGAUUAUUAUUAUAACCUGCCGGUUUGUUGUUUGUACACGGGAUAACACGUUCAAGUAUUUCGUGAUGUUACAGACGAUUUCGGAACGUCAUUUUCGCCUUUUACGAGGGUGAACUUUUUCUUAUACAAUCGCACUCAACAACUGGGAUUCACGUCUAACAUAAUAACAACAAUAGGUUCGUGUUAUCUGCGUUCGUUUGACUUGCACUUGUCGUUAUACAAAAAAAAAAAAAUCAAAAACCGAUGACGCGUUCGUUUAUACCUAUAGUAUAAUUGUAUGGUAAACACGUAUAUUUACUAUCUUUUAUCAGAUGAAUUUUAUUAAAUAAUUGAUUGGAAUUUAGUACUUUUUAAAAACCCCACAACUAUAUAAGACAUUCACGAAAGUCAGAUUUAAGUGCAACAUUUUUGUUUUCUAGACACGAAGUAUCCAUUAUUUCGGGAAAUUCGUUAGGGGUGGAGAGGUUACUUGAAUUUCGUCCUUAUAAUAUGUAUGUACAUUGGAUUUUCAUUUUCCCGGGUGUGCACAAUUAUCA
Molecule: non-coding RNA, 611 nt
Organism: Cinara cedri
Lineage: Eukaryota; Metazoa; Arthropoda; Insecta; Hemiptera; Aphididae
Source: the annotation of a GenBank genome assembly